Long non-coding RNA from Physella acuta, 619 nucleotides. RefSeq lists it as uncharacterized. Lineage: Eukaryota; Metazoa; Mollusca; Gastropoda; Physidae. The record is from RefSeq and is a predicted model, not a curated record.
GCUACACUAUCUGACAGUUGAAAGGUGUUACCCUGCAGACUGUCUGAAAUUAGGGCUACCAGCUAUACCAUCCCACCAUCUGACAGAUGCUUACAGGGCAUGUAAAAUGACGUCACAAUGUCUAAAAAUUCAAUGGUGCACCCGACUCCCAAAGAACACGCGACUACCUUCUUUUGCCGCCACAUCCCUUGUCUGCAAAAUGAGAACACAUUAAAAACCUCCUAAAAUAAGUAUCCUGGGAUGAGAGGGAAGUCUAUGACUCUCUAAGGUAGCACUAUAAAUAAAGUGUUUGAUUACUUUAGGUGAGAAAAUCAUGACGUUACUGGAAGAAUGCCAUCCCCUGAAGGCUCACAAACUCAAGAACUUUUAUCAGGAAUGACGCACGAAGAAAAUAAAUAAAAGAAGAGCGAAGAAACACAUUGAGACGCUCAUUCGGGAAACUGCAUCAAACUAGAUAAUGAUAGUUUUAUCGUUAGAACCCAAAUAUACAUCUAGGUCUAUAGGCCUACCUUUUUCAAUAACCUAAUUUAUUUUGACUAUAAGAACUUAUCUUGUGAUGAUAAUGUAUGUCUAUUGUUUGUGUAUAUGUGUUAACUGUUAUCAUAUGCCACAACACGGU